This 467-nucleotide ribosomal RNA is filed under the name uncultured bacterium. RNAcentral describes it as "partial 16S ribosomal RNA". It matches the Rfam family "Bacterial small subunit ribosomal RNA", at positions 28 to 506 of the family's 1533-position model. The record is from RNAcentral.
GACGAACGCUGGCGGCGUGCUUAACACAUGCAAGUCGAACGGAAAGGCCCUGCUUUUGUGGGGUGCUCGAGUGGCGAACGGGUGAGUAACACGUGAGUAACCUGCCCUUGACUUUGGGAUAACUUCAGGAAACUGGGGCUAAUACCGGAUAGGAGCUCCUGCUGCAUGGUGGGGGUUGGAAAGUUUCGGCGGUUGGGGAUGGACUCGCGGCUUAUCAGCUUGUUGGUGGGGUAGUGGCUUACCAAGGCUUUGACGGGUAGCCGGCCUGAGAGGGUGACCGGCCACAUUGGGACUGAGAUACGGCCCAGACUCCUACGGGAGGCAGCAGUGGGGAAUAUUGCACAAUGGGCAGAAGCCUGAUGCAGCAACGCCGCGUGCGGGAUGACGGCCUUCGGGUUGUAAACCGCUUUCGCCUGUGACGAAGCGUGAGUGACGGGAAUGGGUAAAGAAGCACCGGCGAACUACGU